This 484-nucleotide ribosomal RNA is filed under the name uncultured bacterium. RNAcentral's name for it is "partial 16S ribosomal RNA". It matches the Rfam family "Bacterial small subunit ribosomal RNA", at positions 30 to 507 of the family's 1533-position model. The record is from RNAcentral.
AUUGAACGCUGGCGGCAGGCCUAACACAUGCAAGUCGAGCGGAUGAAGGGAGCUUGCUCCUGUAUUCAGCGGCGGACGGGUGUGUAAUGCCUAGGAAUCUGCCUGGUAGUGGGGGAUAACGUCCGGAAACGGGCGCUAAUACCGCAUACGUCCUGAGGGAGAAAGUGGGGGAUCUUCGGACCUCACGCUAUCAGAUGAGCCUAGUUCGGAUUAGCUAGUUGGUGGGGUAAAGGCCUACCAAGGCGACGAUCCGUAACUGGUCUGAGAGAAUGAUCAGUCACACUGGAACUGAGACACGGUCCAGACUCAUACGGGAGGCAGCAGUGGGGAAUAGUGGAAAAUGGGAGAAAGCCUGAUCCAGCCAUGGGGCGUGUGUGAAGAAGGUAUUCGGAUUGUAAAGCACUUUAAGUUGGGAGGAAGGGCAGUAAGUUAAGACCUUGCUGUUUUGACGUUACCAACAGAAUAAGCACCGGCUAACUUCGUG